GGAUGCCCAGCGCACCUAAGCCUUGUGCGUGUGCAUGCUAGCUCCUACGCGCGUAACGGGGUGGGUCGUGCGCUGCAGGCUAGCCUGAAGCGUGCCGAGGGGGAGGCCACUGCUGCCUCCGGCAAUGUGCCACUACUCGAAUUGGGUGGGAUGCUGCCGGCACUAGUUGAGGAGAUUUUUCUCGUCAGUUUUUUCAUGACAAUAAUCUUUUUCUCUCUCUUUACCAGAUUUUUCCAGUGCAAAUCCAACCACUCUAAAUUUUUAUGAAUAGG
Molecule: long non-coding RNA, 272 nt
Filed under: Carica papaya (papaya)
Lineage: Eukaryota; Viridiplantae; Streptophyta; Magnoliopsida; Brassicales; Caricaceae
Description: long non-coding RNA (CPAP_LNC001408)
Source: RNAcentral